GACGAACGCUGGCGGCGUGCCUAAUACAUGCAAGUUGAGCGCUGAAGGUUGGUACUUGUACCGACUGGAUGAGCAGCGAACGGGUGAGUAACGCGUGGGGAAUCUGCCUUUGAGCGGGGGACAACAUUUGGAAACGAAUGCUAAUACCGCAUAAAAACUUUAAACACAAGUUUUAAGUUUGAAAGAUGCAAUUGCAUCACUCAAAGAUGAUCCCGCGUUGUAUUAGCUAGUUGGUAGGUAAAGGCUCACCAAGGCGAUGAUACAUAGCCGACCUGAGAGGGUGAUCGGCCACAUUGGGACUGAGACACGGCCCAAACUCCUACGGGAGGCAGCAGUAGGGAAUCUUCGGCAAUGGACGAAAGUCUGACCGAGCAACGCCGCGUGAGUGAAGAAGGUUUUCGGAUCGUAAAACUCUGUUGGUAGAGAAGAACGUUGGUGAGAGUGGAAAGCUCAUCAAGUGACGGUAACUACCCAGAAAGGGACGGCUAACUACGUG
Molecule: ribosomal RNA, 496 nt
Filed under: uncultured bacterium
Lineage: Bacteria
Description: partial 16S ribosomal RNA
Rfam family: Bacterial small subunit ribosomal RNA
Source: RNAcentral